Juglans microcarpa x Juglans regia is the source of this 2067-nucleotide RNA transcript. RefSeq lists it as uncharacterized. The transcript has 5 exons. Lineage: Eukaryota; Viridiplantae; Streptophyta; Magnoliopsida; Fagales; Juglandaceae. The record is from RefSeq and is a predicted model, not a curated record.
UCAAAGUCUCUCAGAUACACUCGAACCAUCAUAAAUCUCGGAAACGCGUCGCUCAGUCUACCCCUCAUCAUUUCCCUGCCCAUGUCCUAUUAGUAUGCUCCGAUCAGCAACCCUGGCGUUCGAUGAUACCCCCACACCGUCUGAGUUACCACCGGAAGCCUUCACCUCCGCCAGUGACGCCAUUCCCAAGAAUCGGUGACUCUUCCUCCCCCACUCUUAAAAUGCUGCCUGAACCUCCGGCCACCCUAAUCCUCGGCCGCUUUCUUUUCUUGGUCGCCGUCUCCCUCUCCUGCGUGAUUCUCUUCCUCGCUUCAGACUCCAUCCGGUUCCUCCGUCGCUUCCAAUCUUCCACCUCCGGUUCGUCCUUCAACUUCUCCUCUGCCUUCGACGAUUCCCCUCUGGAGGCUGGUGACGGAUAUAGGCUUGAAAAGGUUUUGAAGGAUGCUGCCAUGGAAGACAGCACUGUUAUUAUAACAGCUAUAAAUGAAGCGUGGGCAGCUCCAAAUUCGGUGAUUGAUCUCUUUCUUGAGAGCUUUAGAAUUGGAGAUCACACCCGUAGACUUUUGAACCAUUUGGUGAUUAUUGCCUUGGAUCAAAAGGCAUUUGCGCGUUGUCUCGUGAUACAUACGCACUGCUUUUCUCUUGUCAGUGAUGGAGUUGAUUUUCGUCAUGAGGCGUACUUUAUGACCCCUGAUUACUUGAAGAUGAUGUGGAAAAGGAUUGAUUUCCUGCGCUCUGUUCUUGAGAUGGGAUACAAUUUUGUUUUCACGGAUGCUGAUGUCAUGUGGUUCAGAGACCCAUUUCCUCAGUUUUAUUUGGAUGCGGAUUUCCAAAUAGCCUGUGACAUUUUCUUAGGGAGCUCUGAUGAUGUGCAUAACAGACCCAACGGAGGCUUUAACUAUGUGAAGUCAAAUAAUCGCUCAGUAGAGUUCUACAAAUUCUGGUACUCUUCACAUGAAACGUUUCCUGGAUACCAUGAUCAGGAUGUCCUUAAUAUCAUCAAGUCUCAUCCCUUCAUCCUAGAUAUUGGACUAAAGAUGAAAUUCUUGGACACUGCAUAUUUUGGUGGGCUUUGCGAACCUAGCAAAGAUUUGAAUGAAGUUUGUACAAUGCACGCAAACUGUUGUUUUGGCCUAGACAACAAGCUCCAUGAUCUAAGGAUUAUGCUCCAGGAUUGGAAGCAUUUUAUGUCUUUGCCACCAAGGUUGAAGAGAUUGUCAAAUUUAUCCUGGAGGGUUCCUCAGAAUUGCAGUCUCAGUUCACUCCAUCAUUAUGAUUCCCCGAAGAACAUUGAAGAGGGAGGGCAGGAUUGACAUGAAUUGUAUACGUGUUGCAUGGUAGAUUUGCCUUGCAUGUGAAUUUUUGGACAUGUUUGGUCUCAAUGUAUCUCAGCGGUGUUCACAUGUAUGAAUUGAGGGGAUGCCGAUGUAACUUGCAUGUUCCCCAAACUCCAAUAAAGAGGAAAUUGUGGAAAGGGUGAAUACGACAACUGAAGGUAGUGGAACUACAACCUUCCAUUACAUGGCGGAGGUACUACGUCUUUGUUCGACAAUGAUUGCAAAAGAAAUCUUCUGGACUACCAUUUCAUGCUUUUAUGGAAGAUCUUUGGUCAUAAACGCUGACUAGAUUGUGUGAAUAUCUGUUUAGUCUCGCUAGUUACUGUGAACUAUGCCCAACUAUUUAAGUGGUAUCAGGGAUAAGACAGACAUAAAGUGAAGAGCAAUAAAGGCUAGCAAGAGGGGAAACACACAAGGAGAUGACAAAAUUUUUGGGCAGACUGGCUUCUUCAUUUGGGAUCUCCUCCUCCUCCUCCUCCUCUACCCCUUCUCCUUGUAACUGAGAGCAAAAAUGGAGGAUGAGAGAUUGCAAUUUGUACACACUUCAUUGUAGAUUUCUAUCCGACUCCGUGAAUAUAGGCCUCAGUGUUGAAUCACACACUUCAUUGUAGUUUUAUUUUAUUUUCUACUCAUGUCCUUUAUUUUCUCAUGCUUAUAGAAAUUUAUCUCCACCAUCAAAUUGCUUCAGUAAGACUAGUUGCUUGUCAAAAGACCAUGGGCCAUCACGUAA